AAUGUGUAAAAAUUAUGUUGAGCCAUUUUUAUGGUCUUGUGAUGAUUGAGUAUUUGUUUGGGCCUUGGUCAAGGUUGAUUUGAAUUUUUUUGGAUUAAAACCAUUGGAUUUAGGAGAUUGAUGAAAUGUACAUUUCAUCUCCCAAAAUAAAUGAAUGGUUUUAAUUUGAUUAAAUUCCUCCCAUGACCAAUUUGUGUUUC
Molecule: long non-coding RNA, 200 nt
Filed under: Lathyrus oleraceus (garden pea)
Lineage: Eukaryota; Viridiplantae; Streptophyta; Magnoliopsida; Fabales; Fabaceae
Description: Pisum sativum (pea) long non-coding RNA (PSAT_LNC021672)
Source: RNAcentral